AACGAACGCUGGCGGCAGGCCUAACACAUGCAAGUCGAACGCUGUAGCAAUACAGAGUGGCAGACGGGUGAGUAACGCGUGGGAACCUUCCCAAUGGUGCGGAAUAGCCCAGGGAAACUUGGGGUAAUACCGCAUAAGCCCUUAGGGGGAAAGAUUUAUCGCCAUUGGAUGGGCCCGCGUCGGAUUAGCUAGUUGGUGAGGUAAUGGCUCACCAAGGCAACGAUCCGUAGCUGGUUUGGGAGAAUGACCAGCCACACUGGGACUGAGACACGGCCCAGACUCCUACGGGAGGCAGCAGUGGGGAAUCUUGGACAAUGGGCGCAAGCCUGAUCCAGCCAUGCCGCGUGAGUGACGAAGGCCUUAGGGUUGUAAAGCUCUUUUGCCGGGGACGAUAAUGACGGUACCCGGAGAAUAAGUCCCGGCUAACUUCGUGCCAGCAGCCGCCGUAA
RNAcentral lists this ribosomal RNA (449 nucleotides) under uncultured bacterium. RNAcentral's name for it is "partial 16S ribosomal RNA". It matches the Rfam family "Bacterial small subunit ribosomal RNA", at positions 29 to 523 of the family's 1533-position model. The record is from RNAcentral.